RNAcentral lists this ribosomal RNA (506 nucleotides) under uncultured bacterium. RNAcentral describes it as "partial 16S ribosomal RNA". It matches the Rfam family "Bacterial small subunit ribosomal RNA", at positions 30 to 523 of the family's 1533-position model. The record is from RNAcentral.
AUUGAACGCUGGCGGUAGGCCUAACACAUGCAAGUCGAACGGCAGCACAGGAGAGCUUGCUCUCUGGGUGGCGAGUGGCGGACGGGUGAGGAAUACAUCGGAAUCUACUCUGUCGUGGGGGAUAACGUAGGGAAACUUACGCUAAUACCGCAUACGACCUACGGGUGAAAGCAGGGGACCUUCGGGCCUUGCGCGAUUGAGUGAGCCGAUGUCGGAUUAGCUAGUUGGCGGGGUAAAGGCCCACCAAGGCGACGAUCCGUAGCUGGUCUGAGAGGAUGAGCAGCCAAACUGGAACUGAGCCACGGUCCAGACUCCGACGGGAGGCAGCAGUGGGGAAUAUUGGACAAUGGGCGCAAGCCUGAUCCAGCCAUACCGGGUGGGUGAAGAAGGCCUUCGGGUUGUAAAGCCCUUUUGUUGGGAAAGAAAUCCAGCUGGCUAAUACCCGGUUGGGAUGACGGUACCCAAAGAAUAAGCACCGGCUAACUUCGUGCCAGCCGCCGCCGUAA